CUCCCUUCUGGGUGGAGGCUGCAGAAUAUCACUGUACAAAUACAGUUUCUUCCCAUCUGCAGGUGGGUUCAUCAACGUUUUAAUGUGCCGAUUUAAUAUUUGGUAACCGUAUUUUAUCAUAAAUUUAUGAAUCUUCAUAUUUCACUACAAUCACUGAGCAAAUUCUGUUGAAUGUGUGUUAGAAAAAAUGGAAAGAAAUGGAAGAGAGUCAAUAAAACCUUACAACAUUAGCCAACACAGCCACCAUGCUGUUCCUGUUCCUGUCUGAUAAAAUCAUCCUGAAAAAAAACACUUUCAUAGAUUCUCUGUCCACUAAGACAGAACAAUAAUUUCAUUUCCGCAACAAUGUGUAACUCACUUGGCAAUAAAUAUGCCAAGUUUUUGAUGCUGUUAGUAUAUCGGCUGGUUCUGUAAAGCAAAGCUCUUACAGAUUCUUUGUUUCAUUACUCCUUUCUUUAGUAAAGUCAGUACUCAUCUUGCCUGUUUGUGCUUCUCUUCCCCACUGACUUUGUACCACUUAUUGACGUGGCAAUCAAACAGAGAGGCGGUUUUCAAAGUACAGUAAAGCACACAAUGAGGUCAAUUACGUCUGCAAGAGUUGCUAAUGUCUUCCUUCCUUGCUUUCAAAUGAUUGUCUCCCUCCCAUCCAUUAAUGCGAGAUGAUUAGAGCCAUUACAAAAUAACCCGAUCCAUUCAGCCCUACUUACGCUCAGCGGAUUACAUUCAUGACUCGCGUUCAGCCCCCUGGGCAGAAGUCCACGUAGGCCGGCAGUAAGCGCUGGAUGACUUUGUGCUCUGCUUUCUUGACCACUGCCAUAUUAUACCUAUCGUCGACAUAUACGGACUGGACAACUGGCUAGGUAGCUGGUUGGCUUGUCCAUUUCCAGAGGCUCCCCGGGCCCCUUAACGAGAGCACACUGUGUGGGAUGGGUUGAAUCUUUUAUCAGAUAAAAUGUAUGCAAGAGCGAUUGUGGUACCCAACAAUACUGCAAGAGUGCUGCAGCAAACACUGUGAUGGCAUCAUUUAAAAGAUAUUUUUCCAGUGCUUGUAUGGUUAAUAUACCAUAAUAAUAUUAGUGCUGAGCAAAGAUGAAAAAAUUGAAUCGAUUAAUCGCUGGACUUUUCUGUGAUUAAUGGUGAUUAAUCGCAUUAUGCGCAAAAUGUAAUAAUUCAAUGAAAACCAGUGUAUUGCACACUUUUAUUUUAAAGUAAUGUUACCAGAACAAUAUAGAAAGAAACAUUUGUCUUUUAUCAGGGAACAGUAUAAUGCAGCAUAUGUUCAGUAGGAAGGGUCCCUAUGAGGUGGUGUACUCCGGGCUCCUAGUACUCCAGCCUCCGUGUACUCCGGGCUCCUAGUACCACAGGCUCCUAGUACUACAGGCUCCUAGUUAUCCGGGCUCCUAAGACUCUAGGCUCCUAGUACUCUAGGCUCCUAGUACUCCAAGCUCCUAGUACUCCAGGCUCCUAGUACUACAGGCUCCUAGUACUCCAAGCUCCUAGUACUCCGGGCUCCUAGUACUACAGGCUCCUAGUAAUCCGGGCUCCUAAAACUCAAGGCUCCUAGUACUCCGGGCUCCUAGUACUCCAAGCUCCUAGUACUCCAGGCUCCUGGUACUACAGGCUCCUAGUACUCCAAGCUCCUAAUACUCCCGGCUCCUAGUACUACAGGCUCCUAGUAAUCCAGGCUCCUAAGACUCUAGGCUCCUGGUACUCCGGGCUCCUAGUACUAUAGGCUCCUAGUACUAUAGGCUCCUAGUACUCCAAGCUCCUAGUACUCCAGGCUCCUGGUACUACAGGCUCCUAGUACUCCAAGCUCCUAAUACUCCCGGCUCCUAGUACUACAGGCUCCUAGUAAUCCGGGCUCCUAAGACUCUAGGCUCCUAGUACUACAGGCUCCUAGUACUCUAGGCUCCUAGUACUCCAGGCUCCCAGUACUCUAGGCUCCCGGUACUCUAGGCUCCCAGUACUACAGGCUCCCAGCACUACAGGCUCAUAGUACUACAGGCUCCUAGUACUACAGGCUCCUAGUACUCUAGACUCCUAUUACUCUAGGCUCCCAGUACUCUAGGCUCCCAGUACUACAGGCUCCUAGUACUUCGGGCUCCUAGUAUUCCGGUGAUAUAUAAUUUGUAGUGGUUACAAAUAGCUCUGCUUUUAUCGACUGCGCCACCUGGUAGGGCUUUCAAGAAAAAAGCGUGAGACUUUUCUAGAUUUUCUCGGUUGACGUGUGCAGCAGUUAUAAGAACGACCCAAAGCUCAAAAACAUCCCGUUAACACACGAGACAAUGCUGAAGUUAAUGGAUACAUUAUAGAUCACAAACAGAAACAUGUUUUCCUCUCUUCAUUCACUCAUUUAAUUUAACUUCCGUUUUCAAUUUCAUGGUUGUUUGUCCUACGGAUCCGCGCCUUCUGUGCUCUCCCCCCGCGGGAGCACAACAUGCUGCGUACACAGACACACACACACACACACACGAUCACAUGAAGUCAUCAAUACUUGACCGGGGCAUUGGGCUGCACGUUAAGUACAAAAAACCCACAUACACAUCAGCCACACACGCACAUACACACUCCACUCCGUCCUCUCUGGACUGUCUGCAAACGGAGCGCUAUGAAUCGUUCAGCAUCGAUUUGCCCUACAUUUGUUCCAGAUGUAUCAGCUUCUGUGUUCGUCCACUUCACGACGCGGAUUCCAGGCCUGGGAAGCGUGUCACGUUUUAAUCAACACACCCCCUUUUUCACGCGUGCUACUAAGUCGAACUUUGGCCAAACACUCUCAACGCCGCACUCAACACACUUGUUUGUGAUGACCAGGGACUUUAACCACGCUCGGCUUCCUGCUCAAACGGACAGAAACUGGAGAGAACCCCCAUCAUGUGGCCUAAAUUAGAGAACGUCAUUUCAUGCUUCGUGUAGCAACGUCGUGCAUUUGCUUUGAUUCAGAGGUUCAGAUUGAAGACCCUGUACAUCAGCUCUGCUACUGUUAAAAACGGUGGGAAAACCUUUUUUCCCACAUUGUGUUGUGACUGCUGAGCGUCCGAGGAAAAGCGGUAAAACAAGUAGCCACGUGGCACAAACGGCAAUGACAGGGAAAACGGGAACUUUCUAAAGGCAAAAGCAGCCAGCGGACGUUUUCCUUCAAGCAUGGCAGAGAAACCAGAAUUGAGGAACCGAGGUCAGCUGCUGCUUUACUCGGUACUUUUUUUAAUGGAAAAGACGUGUAAAAGCGGAGAUUCGACUUUGUCCCUGAAAGCAACUUGUGCUCUGCGCGUCGUUACUUUAAGGAUGAAUGAAGCGGGAAGCCGGUGGUUCUCGCUGACGUCGGCGGGCGUAAACCGACCCGUUGACCUUCCCCUUAUCGUGGCGUUUCCUCUCACAGCAGCGCAUGGGUCACUGAGGGGGGGGGAGGAUCGCCUUUUUUACACCUUCUUCUACAAACGUGUAGCACACGCACAGGAAUAGAAAAGUCCCAUUUCAGAAAGCGGAACCGACACAGAGGUUAAAGCUAGCGACGGUCAUCUAUAAUAGAAACAUGCCAUGUCGUGUGAGUCGAAAAGCGCUGGUUCCUCCUCCACGCCGCUGCCCAUUUCUCCUUUGACAGCCUUUUCUUUCCGUCUCCGCUCCAUUAGUCGCCGUACUCGUGACGUCACUUCCCGCCCGGUGCCACAGAAUGGCGUGAUGCACCCGAAGGGAAUCGACUUCUUUCUCGUCGGUGAACCUUUAGCGGGCGGGGAGGACCGACGGCGAGGACGUCAGGAGCGAGUGACUGCCGGCCGGCUGACGUCAUCGCCGCUGAAGGGCGGGUGUUGCUACGGGAAACGGCACAAAGUCCAGGCCCCAAAGACAAACACAGUUAUGCGUUUGGUCGGGAGAGAGUCAGGCAAGUGUUUGGCCAGACAGCAGCAAUCACUUGGGAGUCUUGCAAAUGACCAUAUUUGGAAUGUGGAGGCGUGUCAGUCACAGUAAGCCCCGCCCCAAAGCAUUCCCUGCUUCAUUGGAGUCUAAAUGGACCAUCACUUGCUAAAUGAACUUAAGCUAGAGACCAUAAACUCAUGUUUACACUGUUUACUGAGGGAAUCAGUGGAGGAAGGAGUCAUUUUCUCACAGGCUUGUAUGUGUACAGGGAGUCUCCCCCUGCGGGGGCUUAAUGGGAAACACCUCAAAUAGUACGAGAACUGAACCAGGUGAUCACGUCCCAAUGUCGAGCUAUUACAUUAUUCAUAAACAUGACCAAUUAACGUUAUUCAUCACAUCAUCUGCACUUUAGCCGGUUCCUCUAAUUCUUCUGUUCACACAUGAAUGUUAGAUUUAAAGUACUUCUGUAUCUUGUAAAGCAAUUUCCCCUCUUUACUGUUUAUUCACUGAAGCUGUUUCAUGUUUAUGGUCUUGCUUUACGUUCAAUACUAAUUCCCCUGCAGGACCAGUAAAGUCAUCUAGAGUAAUGCAUCUUUGGCCCCCUGUUAUCCUGGAUGGGGGGAAAACGCAGAGGCCUUAAAGUCCCCGGACGUACGCAGGCCGCAAUGACGCACUACAUGGGCCUAUUUAGACGGCAACGAGCAAUAAGUGGACGCCGUCAACGCAAUGUCCCCCCCCCCCCACUGGUUUGUGGACCACCGUUUUGCGGCAUUAAGUCGCGGCGCUUUUGGCAGCGACAUCUCGGAUCACGCUGGUCGCCGUCUUGAAGUUACGAUAGAGGAGAGCAGUGAAAGAGACACCGCCCGGUCUGAUGGUGAGUUUGACUCUAAAUGGACCAUCAUUUACUAAAUGAUUACUAAAAGAAAGAUUCUAACAGUCAACAAGCAAGUCUGUUGGACAGUAGAUACGAUCCGGUAAAUGAUGCCAAUGACGUCUCUACUUUUGAUGAAGUAAGUAGCUGCUGGUGCUGAUUGACACAUUUGAAUGAGACAUAACGUCUCCUUGCACCCGAAAGUGAGCCGACCCUGAUCGGUGCUGCAUCUGCAGCUCUGCAUUCUGGGUCCACUCAGCCUCACCUUCAAUGCUUUCUUCUUCACAUCUGUCACACCCGCUGCUCCUCCCGGAAGGAAAGAGGCAAACCCAGAUCCCGCUCUCUGCAUCCCGAUCAGCAGACGUAAAGCCGAGACCAGCGGUGGGAAACAUAAUCCCACUGCGCUCACACUGACGGGCUAACUAACCCCGUCUCAGGGGAAGAACAUCUGGACAGGCACUAAACAGGGAUGAGACGCACACUGUAACAAAUUGCUGUAAAUUUACGGUAUGUUACAGUAUGUCAUAAUAACUGUAACAUACAGUUAAAUUUCCAUCCCGUGCUUGUAAAUUAACGGCCAAUGUCAUGAAUAAACAGUUAAAGCUGUCAAUUUACAAUAAUAGCAGACUACCGUAAUUCAACUGCAUGUUACAUAUAUUUUAUGAGGUGGUGGAAAUACACAUACA
Long non-coding RNA from Gasterosteus aculeatus aculeatus (three-spined stickleback), 5409 nucleotides. The record is from Ensembl. NCBI's taxonomy places the organism in Eukaryota, Metazoa, Chordata, Actinopteri, Perciformes, Gasterosteidae.